Molecule: long non-coding RNA, 1351 nt
Organism: Carcharodon carcharias (great white shark)
Lineage: Eukaryota; Metazoa; Chordata; Chondrichthyes; Lamniformes; Lamnidae
Exons: 3
Source: RefSeq, a predicted model, not a curated record
GCCUGUGACUGACAACCGCGGCCCGCAACUACCUCCCCGUUCGCUGCGACCUCGAGAGCUCUAGCUCCUUGUUCCGACGUUGAGGCAGCAAGUGGUUAUUUAUCAAGCCUCCCCGCCCACUCUGCCGCCUCCAAUCCACCGGCUUAAUUUACUUGCCUGGACUCGAUAUUUGUGAACAGUUUCGACCAGUUCCUGGCGCGGCUUCGACUGCGGACAUGUCCCCGCAAAGCGCAUGUUCGAAUCACACCCGGUAGUGCGCCUGCGCAAGAAGCUACUGCCGCGAGGAUAGGGCACGUUCUGCCCCGCCGCGAAUGCUGGGUCACGUUAAGUGAGAGAAAACUGAUCCACAGUGACCCAAAAACAAAAUACAGCAGAGGCUGCAAAUUUCAACUCAAAAGAUAUUGUUGGAAACACUCAGCAGGUCAAACAGUCUCUAUGGAGAGGACAACAGCAUCAAUGCUUAAGGGUGUUAGGAGAGGAAGAUUUACAGAUGGGAAACUAAAACCAAUUAUCAAGAUCUGACAGAGUCACUUGAUUCAUCAGGACCUGAAUAUCAUCAGCCUCUGAACAUUUAAGGAGAAACGUUUGUCCAUGUGAAGAGAUUUCAAACAUCAGUGUGACUGGAAAAGCAGCAAGAUGCACACACCCGAUUGAGAGUGUUCCAGUACACAGCCUGAAAAGAAUCACCGCAUUCACAGCGAGGAGAAAAUGUACAAGUGUUGUGUAUGUGGACGAGGCUUCAGCUGAUCUUCCAAGUUGGAGAGACAGAAGGACACCAGCACCAUGGAGAAACCAUGGAAGUGUGGAGAUUGUGGGAAAGGAUUCAAAUACCAAUUGCGGCUGGAAACUCGACACAUUCACACUGGGGAGAGACCAUUCCCCUGCUCCUUGUGUGGGAAGGGAUUCACUCAGUCAUCCGACCUUCUGAGACACCAACUCACUCACACUGAGGAGAGGCCGUUCACCUGCUCCAUGUGUGGGAAGGGAUUCAUUAAUUCAUCAGAUCUUCGGACACACCAUCGAGUUCACACUGGAGAGAGGCCGUUCACCUGCUCUGCCUGUGGGAAGGGAUUCAUUCAUUCAUCUGACUUUUUGAUACACCAGCGAGUUCAUACUGGGGAGAAGCCGUUCACCUCUCCAUGUGUGGCAAUAGAUUCUCCCGAUUAUCCCUGCUCAAGGCACACCAGCUGGUUCACACUGAUCAGAGACCUUUUAAAUGUUCUGACUGCGAGAAGAGCUUUAAAAGCAAGUGUAAAUUGCUGGCACAUUGGGGAGAGGCUGUUCACUGGCACCAAGUGUGGGAAGGGAUUCGUCCAUUCAUCCCACUUGGUGAGACACCAGCGAGUUCAGA